Molecule: ribosomal RNA, 409 nt
Filed under: uncultured bacterium
Lineage: Bacteria
Description: bacterial SSU rRNA
Rfam family: Bacterial small subunit ribosomal RNA
Source: RNAcentral
AGUGAACGCUGGCGGCAGGCCUAACACAUGCAAGUCGAACGGCAGCACGGCAGUAGCAAUACUGUGGGUGGCGAGUGGCGGACGGGUGAGGAAUACAUCGGGAUCUACCCUGUUGUGGGGGAUAACGUAGGGAAACUUACGCUAAUACCGCAUAAGAACUGAGGUUGAAAGCGGCGGACCGCAAGGCGUCGCGCGAUUGGAUGAACCGAUGUCCGAUUAGCUAGUUGGCGGGGUAAAGGCCCACCAAGGCGACGAUCGGUAGCUGGUCUGAGAGGACGACCAGCCACACUGGAACUGAGACACGGUCCAGACUCCUACGGGAGGCAGCAGUGGGGAAUAUUGGACAAUGGGCGCAAGCCUGAUCCAGCCAUGCCGCGUGGGUGGAAGAAGGCCUCGGGUUGGUUAAAGG